This 245-nucleotide ribosomal RNA is filed under the name Pholcus phalangioides (longbodied cellar spider). Its description in RNAcentral is "partial ribosomal RNA large subunit". It matches the Rfam family "Eukaryotic large subunit ribosomal RNA", at positions 1550 to 1776 of the family's 3401-position model. The record is from RNAcentral. Lineage: Eukaryota; Metazoa; Arthropoda; Arachnida; Araneae; Pholcidae.
GGAUAGGAGAAAUCCGUUCCGAUGCCGGGAAUCUCUCCCGGCCUGACCGAAAGGAAAGGGGUUAAGAUUCCCCUACCCGGAUGCGGAGAUCGGGACCUCGCGUCCCUAACGCGGCGACGCAACCGAGCUCGGAUACGUCGACGGGAGUCCCGGGAAGAGUUGUCUUUUCUUCGCAAGGGUUCGAGUCCCUGGAAUCGGGUCGUCCGGAGAUAGGGUCGAAGUGCCCGAGAAGCGUCGCGUCUCUU